This 466-nucleotide ribosomal RNA is filed under the name uncultured bacterium. RNAcentral's name for it is "bacterial SSU rRNA". It matches the Rfam family "Bacterial small subunit ribosomal RNA", at positions 28 to 507 of the family's 1533-position model. The record is from RNAcentral.
GACGAACGCUGGCGGCGUGCCUAACACAUGCAAGUCGAACGGGUGAGAGGAGCUUGCUCCUUGAUCUAGUGGCGAACGGGUGAGUAACGCGUGAGAAACCUGCCUUUCAGUGGGGGACAACAGUUGGAAACGACUGCUAAUACCGCAUAAUGUGCCGGGAGGGCAUCCUCCUGGUACCAAAGCUUUAUGUGCUGAAAGAUGGUCUCGCGUCUGAUUGGCUAGAUGGCGGGGUAACGGCCCACCAUGGCGACGAUCAGUAGCCGGUCUGAGAGGAUGAACGGCCACAUUGGGACUGAGAUACGGCCCAGACUCCUACGGGAGGCAGCAGUGGGGAAUAUUGGGCAAUGGGGGAAACCCUGACCCAGCAACGCCGCGUGAAGGAAGAAGGCCUUCGGGUUGUAAACUUCUUUUAGCAGGGACGAAGAACGUGACGGUACCUGCAGAAAAAGCAACGGCUAACUACGUG